This 253-nucleotide ribosomal RNA is filed under the name uncultured bacterium. RNAcentral's name for it is "partial 16S ribosomal RNA". It matches the Rfam family "Bacterial small subunit ribosomal RNA", at positions 524 to 776 of the family's 1533-position model. The record is from RNAcentral.
UACGUAGGGUGCAAGCGUUGUCCGGAAUUAUUGGGCGUAAAGAGCUCGUAGGUGGCCUGUCGCGUCGGCUGUGAAAACUCGGGGCUCAACUCCGAGCUUGCAGUCGUUACGGGCAGGCUAGAGUUCGGCAGGGGAGACUGGAAUUCCUGGUGUAGCGGUGAAAUGCGCAGAUAUCAGGAGGAACACCAAUGGCGAAGGCAGCUCGCUGGGACGGUACUGACGCUGAGACGCGAAAGCGUGGGGAGCAAACAGG